Molecule: long non-coding RNA, 2269 nt
Filed under: Homo sapiens (human)
Lineage: Eukaryota; Metazoa; Chordata; Mammalia; Primates; Hominidae
Description: HSALNT0289752
Source: RNAcentral
CCCAAAGUGCUGGGAUUACAGGCGUGAGCCACCACACCCGGCCUCCUAACUGAUGUUUCAGUUUGGAUCUGAAGAACGGGAAUUUUCAUAAUUUCUUUUUCAAGGUUUUUGAGAAUUAGUUUGUUGCCAUUUCCGAACUUCCAUCCCAUUGUGAUGUGCAUAACCAGUCGGCUUCCUUAGCCUCAUCCUCCACCCAGGGAAGCUCCGACCACGCCAGCACCAGGAAGGCCAGCCGGGGAGCAGCCUGGCCCAGGGGUCAGGAGCCGGGGCCUGUGUGACUGGGGCCUGUGUGGCUGGCACCUGGUGGAUGUGAGCCCCAGGACAGGGAGUUUCUGUGCCCAUGAGAUGGAAGCAGCUCACUUCUUGGCCCCUUUCAAGAAUCUGGGAAGAGCUCCAGGAGUCAGAGGUCUGGGUGCCAGUCCCAGCUCUGCUCCAAACUGGCCGUGUGACCUCAGCGAAGUUAUUUCCCAGUUUUGUUUUCUUCUUUUACAAAAUGACAGGGUGAGAGUCGUGAUUGGUUUUCUUAGUGUCAGAAGUGCUGAACUCUGUUAGAAAGCGUCUCAGGUUGUUUUGUUUGACAGUGACUACCCACUUUGCAGAGACCUGGGCUGCCCGCUCUCUGGGGAAUACUGGAGGUUAUGCCCCAUCUCCUGUCCUGUGGGAGAACCCACCCUCCGAACGAGGCUCUGGUGAGGUUUUCACAAUCAGUAACAAGGCCGAUCUCCAUCAAUGGAAGUCUCCCCGUUUGAGAUGGGGUGUGUGCUCCUUACCCAGGCUCCUGAACAAAACCCACCUCCUUGUCUUGGCACCACUGAGAGUGCACACCGAGGGGGCUCCAGCACCAGAUUGUGGGAACAGUCACGAGAAAGCAGCUCAGACUUCACACCCAGAGCCCUUGAUCCCUACACACCCAGUAUUCCUUCACAGCGCUCUUCCUGCUUCCUGGACACGUGGAACUGCUUCUCCAUCGGGGAGGAUCCAUCCAGAGCCCUUUGGGUGGGUGCUCAGGGCAAUAGCUGCUGCCUCUUCCUUCUGCUCAGUGCUGGGAGGCGUUACACUUUCCCCAUAUGGCACGGAGCAGAACGUGCACCUUUGGCUCUGGAAGGAAUGAACAUCCUACCCGUUAGUUAGCCCUGGGAGUCACUGACUCGGUUCUUCCCUGGACACCAAUGUCCUAUGGAGCACACAGAAAGCCACGGAAGUGUGGUCUGCGGGUUGAGACGGACUCCGUUCAUGUGGAUAAGCAGAGGAAAUUUGGCAGAAACGACCAAAUGCAAAAUACGUGUAGCAGCCUGAGACCGGCCGUCUACUGAAACAAAGGAUGCAGUUCAGUCGGAAACCACGCUUAGCUGAGUAGCUGUCUUUAGCCAUCCAGGCCCUGAGAACCAAUGAACAACCCAGCUUGGCCGCUUAGAACAUUUUUUCUAUACUUGAGUUAAAUAGAUAUCCAAGAACCAUUACUCGUUUUUAAUGUGGAGAAGUCGGUAUUCUAUUCUCGUGUUCUAUGUUUUUUAAAGUGGCAAUUUGAAUUAUUUCGUGCGAUAGAAAACCUUAAACACAAAGUAACGUUUCUAACAAAAGGGCUGUCGAUCAAGUGACAAACACGUCCUACUUUUAGAUACAAGCACGACUGAGGCAACGGCACGAAGACGCCUAAAGUGGGCUGCUGGGGAGACAAGAUCUGGCCGCGAAUGGAACUCGCGGCAGCUCAUUAACGGGACCGUCCAGCAGGAAGGUCUCAGGGCACUGUCGCCCCUACUCACUUUGAUGAAGCCAGUGCUGGGUUGCUGCUGAGGUGGGGAGGUUCAUGGGCCAGGAACUGAAGGCAGCCAUGAGAGCCAGACCCCUCCACCACCCCCAAGACAGCAGGGAACUCACUCCAACAGCCACCCUGGGAUGCUGCCACAGCUGAGCCUGGAGGUGACCGUGACCCUGGCUGACGUCGGACUGCAGCUUUGUAAGGGAGACUGAGCCGGGACCCAGACCUACAAAAGCUGAGAUGAUAAACACUGUUUUAAGCUGCUGUGUGUCGCAGUGACUCGUGUGGUAGUGGAUUUCUAGCAGAGCCGUCGUUCGUGUCUGCCUUCUCUCAGCUCAACACUCUGUAGGGCCACCCAUGCCGUUGUGCAUGUCAACGGUGGAUUUUUUAUUGCGAGUAAUAUUUCAUUCCAUUGCAUGCUCACACCUCGGUUUGUUUAACUGUCUACCUGUUGAUGAGCUCUGGGACAUAUGCAGUUCUGGGCUAUUAUGAGUAAAGCUGCUUUUAACA